GAUGAACGCUGGCGGCGUGCCUAAUACAUGCAAGUCGAGCGAACAGACGAGGAGCUUGCUCCUCUGACGUUAGCGGCGGACGGGUGAGUAACACGUGGAUAACCUACCUAUAAGACUGGGAUAACUUCGGGAAACCGGAGCUAAUACCGGAUAAUAUAUUGAACCGCAUGGUUCAAUAGUGAAAGACGGUUUUGCUGUCACUUAUAGAUGGAUCCGCGCCGCAUUAGCUAGUUGGUAAGGUAACGGCUUAGCAAGGCAACGAUGCGUAGCCGACCUGAGAGGGUGAUCGGCCACACUGGAACUGAGACACGGUCCAGACUCCUGCGGGAGGCAGCAGUAGGGAAUCUUCCGCAAUGGGCGAAAGCUUGACGGAGCAACGCCGCGUGAGUGAUGAAGGUCUUCGGAUCGGAAAACUCUGUUAUUAGGGAAGAACAAAUGUGUAAGUAACUAUGCACGUCUUGACGGUACCUAAUCAGAAAGCCACGGCUAACUACGUG
Molecule: ribosomal RNA, 497 nt
Filed under: uncultured bacterium
Lineage: Bacteria
Description: partial 16S ribosomal RNA
Rfam family: Bacterial small subunit ribosomal RNA
Source: RNAcentral